GAGGGUAUUGCUCAGUGACAGAGUGCAUGCUUAGCAUGCACAGGAUCCUGGGUUCAAUCCCCAGUACCAGCA
RNAcentral lists this transfer RNA (72 nucleotides) under Camelus bactrianus (Bactrian camel). It matches the Rfam family "tRNA". From Rfam's summary of the family: Transfer RNA (tRNA) molecules are approximately 80 nucleotides in length. Their secondary structure includes four short double-helical elements and three loops (D, anti-codon, and T loops). The record is from Rfam by way of RNAcentral. Lineage: Eukaryota; Metazoa; Chordata; Mammalia; Artiodactyla; Camelidae. RNAcentral also lists the same sequence under 2 other names.